This 356-nucleotide ribosomal RNA is filed under the name uncultured bacterium. RNAcentral describes it as "partial 16S ribosomal RNA". It matches the Rfam family "Bacterial small subunit ribosomal RNA", at positions 527 to 881 of the family's 1533-position model. The record is from RNAcentral.
GUAGGUUGCAAGCGUUGUCCGGAUUUACUGGGUGUAAAGGGCGUGUAGGCGGAUAUGCAAGUNGGAAGUGAAAUCCAUGGGCUCAACCNNUGAACUGCUNUNNAAACUGUUUNCCUUGAGUAUCGUAGAGGNAAGCGGAAUNCCUAGUGUAGCGGUGAAAUGCGUAGAUAUUAGGAGGAACACCAGUGGCGAAGGCGGCUUGCUGGACUACUAACUGACGCUGAGGCGCGAAAGCGUGGGNAGCAAACAGGAUUAGAUACCCUGGUAGUCCANGCUGUAAACGAUGAUUACUAGGUGUGGGAGGACUGACCCCUUCCGUGCCGCAGUUAACACAAUAAGUAUUCCACCUGGGGAGU